GUGCUUGCUUUGGCAGCACGUAUACUAAAGUUGGAAUGAUACGGAGAUUAGCAUGGUCCCUAUGCAACGGUGACAUGCAAAUUCAUGAAGCGCUCCGUAUUUUU
Canis lupus familiaris (dog) is the source of this 104-nucleotide small nuclear RNA. The record is from RefSeq and is a predicted model, not a curated record. Lineage: Eukaryota; Metazoa; Chordata; Mammalia; Carnivora; Canidae.